CACGUAGGGGGCGAGCGUUGUCCGGAUUUAUUGGGCGUAAAGAGCUCGUAGGCGGCUCAGUAAGUCAGGUGUGAAAACUCCAGGCUCAACCUGGAGACGCCACCUGAUACUGCUGUGGCUAGAGUCCGGUAGGGGAGCAUGGAAUUCCUGGUGUAGCGGUGAAAUGCGCAGAUAUCAGGAGGAACACCGGUGGCGAAGGCGCACAUCUGGCCCGAUACUGACGCUGAGGCGCGAAAGCGUGGGGAGCAAACAGG
This 254-nucleotide ribosomal RNA is filed under the name uncultured bacterium. Its description in RNAcentral is "partial 16S ribosomal RNA". It matches the Rfam family "Bacterial small subunit ribosomal RNA", at positions 524 to 776 of the family's 1533-position model. The record is from RNAcentral.